Equus caballus (horse) is the source of this 2752-nucleotide long non-coding RNA. NCBI's taxonomy places the organism in Eukaryota, Metazoa, Chordata, Mammalia, Perissodactyla, Equidae. The record is from Ensembl.
UUUUGUUUUCCCUCCCAUAAAUGCUUAGGAAAAAAGACCUGCAAAGCUGGAGAGUGGCUUCAGGGUGAAUUUUCUGUGGUUUAAGGCUUUUCAGACCCCAGUUAGCCCUCUGCCCACCUGGGCAAAUGAAAGACAGGAAUGAAAAAAUAAAAAGGAGAGAUCACGGUAAACAUGUAAAUCUCCUUUUUACCUCAUGAUCUUUGUAGAAAAGACGUCAGUGGCAGCAAAGCUAGAAACCCAAGUGACAACAUGGAGGAAGCAAGAGGACCAUGAGAAGAAACAGGAAGCUGACCACAUGUCUUUCUUGAAAGACUUUCCUUUGUUUCUCUGUAGCUGAAAUUGUGAGCUCAAAGGCCUUCCAGUGUGGUCAAGGAAACAGCUUCCAAGAAACAACUAGAGAACGAGGCGAGAGAGCAGAGCAUCAGGAUUCAGGUAAGAAAAAAAAAUCAGACCAGAUGAAAAAGAUGAGAGGUAGAGAGAAUCAGGGAAGGCUUCUGGGAGGAGGCGAGUCUUGAACACUGACUUGGAGAGUUGAGGCAUGGAGAGCGGUGGGGAGGGUAUCCCAGGCUAGUGGGGCAGGGACUGGUGCAAAAGAACAAAGGAUGCAAAGAGCAAUGUUUGUUGAGGGAGGCAGCAUGGCUGAAGAGGAGGGUGCGGGUUGCAAGGUCAUUGUGCAGAUGUGAAAGGAACAUACUGUACUGGUGGGAGCAAGGAAAUAGACUUUGUUUCCCUUUUGAGAAUGACAUGGCCCCAGGGGAGCAUGGGGGAGGCUUCCUCAAUUCCCUCAACUCCCCCGCAGCCCCCCACACACAUACGCAGGCUCAGCCUUCCACCUCCUCCCCUCCAUGCUUGCAGCGCUAAGGGGUGACUUAGAAGAUGAGACUGAUCCUGCAGACAAAAAUCAGUGUAAUUAUUUUACAGUCCUACUGUAAGCAUGCGGGUUGCUGUGUGGGUGUGCGUGUGUGUGUGUGCAUGUGCGUGCAUACUACUCUGCAAAGGCAUACACAAAGCAUGUCUUGUACUCUGUAAAACUGAAGCAGAGCAGGUGGCAACCUAUUUGGCACCCUUUAAGGCAGGCUGCAUGGCAGAGUGAGAUGGACAAAAGACUUGGAUUCAAAUCCUGACUCACUGCCCAACUGGAGGACCCUUCACCUCUCUGAGCCUCAUUUUGCUCAUCUGUAAAAUGGGGAUAAAAUUACCUACCUCAUAAGGCGAGGAUGAAAUGAGAUAAACUGUGAAGUGCCGGGCUCAUAAUAGGUACUCAAACAUGGACAACUUUUCUUUCUUUCUUUUUUUUUUUUUUUUGCGGAAGAUUAGCCCUGAGCUAACAUCUGUUGCCAAUCCUCCUCUUUUUGCUGAGGAAGACUGGCCCUGAGCUCACAUCCGUGCCCAUCUUCCUCUACUUUAUAUGUGGGACACCUGCCACAGCAUGGCUGGCCAAGCGGUGCCAUCCGCACCCGGGAUCCGAACCGGCGAACCCCAGGCUGCUGAAGCGGAACGUGCAAACUUAACCGCCGCAGCACCAGGCCGGCCCCUGGACAACUUUUUGUAUGAGUUACCCACUCCCCCAUCCCAUGUUACCCUCAGGAGCCUGCCCUGUGAGCCUGAAUUCCCAGCUCCUUUGUUGAAAGUGCUGUUCAAGGCAGCGCCAGGCACUGUUUGUGUGGGAGGACGAUACAAACAUGAAGCAGAAACAAAUGUGGCAAAGUCUUGAUAGUUGCAGAAUCCAGGUGUUGGGGCUUCGUUGUACCGUCCACUUCUUCGUGCAGGUUUGAAAAACAAACUCUAAGAGAACGCAGAAGCACUUCUUGUCUGCAAGAGUGUUACAUCUGUCUCAGAGGAGAGAAGCAAGCCAGCAACUAAUUUUUAUGCCAGGCAGAACGUGCAAGGAGGCCCUCCAAGAGGGACUCAGAAGUGCUGCAAACCGUGCAGGAGGGGAAGAUGACUUCACCUGAGGCACUGUGGGCCGCUUCCUGGAGGCAGGGGCAGUUCAGCUGGGCCUGCGAGGAAGAGAAUUUGAUUUUCAGAGAACAGGGUGGGGGGCCUGGUUCCAGUGGUCCAGGCUCAGAGGACAGCUGCCAACUGCACAGGCUGUGGGACAGACGUGACUGUCACUGAAUUGGAAACAGAGGCUCAGAGAAGUGAAAGAACUUAACUCACUGAAGGCCACACAGCUAAGAACGAGUAGAGGUAAGAUUCAAACUCAGGUCUCGGUCUCCAAACCCGCAUACUAUGUGCUUCUGCUGUCUGCUCCAGUCUCCAGCAUGCUUUGCUGUCUUGCUCCUCACUAGCGAUGCCUUCUCCCAAUUAGUAGAUUAGUCAUGUGUUGACACUUCUAGUCUCAGUCUAAUGGCUUGUUUAUUUAACUGAUGGAUGCUGCUCCCCAUUUAAGGCCAUUAGCAUUUAAACAAAACAAAACAAAACUGUUGAGCCUGGCAAAGUGACACUGUGUUUACUGUUUUUCUCCCAGUGUUAAUUGUGAGCAUUUUCCAAAUAUGUAUUUUGAUGUGCUAACGGUCCCUAAAGAGACCUGCGGAAUAGUUUAGUAAUCUUCUCAUGCAGCUCCAGCCCCGCUCCCCCUAAUCUCCUUGGUGAGGGGGACAAAUGACCCAGGGGGCCAGCCUUGGGUAGGAUGGGGAAGAGCGAUGGUGACAGUCCCAUUCUGAAUAAUUAGGGGGCAGAGAGGCUGGGCUGGGUCCACAACUCUGUCUUUGGGGGCUAAGCCCUGGAGCAGCCCCCGCAGCUUGGGGAG